Molecule: ribosomal RNA, 429 nt
Filed under: bacterium
Lineage: Bacteria
Description: partial 16S ribosomal RNA
Rfam family: Bacterial small subunit ribosomal RNA
Source: RNAcentral
UGGGGAAUCUUCCGCAAUGGACGAAAGUCUGACGGAGCAACGCCGCGUGAGUGAUGACGGCCUUCGGGUUGUAAAGCUCUGUUAAUCGGGGCGAAUGGUUCUUGUGCGAAUAGUGCGAGGAUUUGACGGUACCGGAAUAGAAAGCCACGGCUAACUACGUGCCAGCAGCCGCGGUAAUACGUAGGUGGCAAGCGUUGUCCGGAAUUAUUGGGCGUAAAGCGCGCGCAGGCGGAUUGGUCAGUCUGUCUUAAAAGUUCGGGGCUUAACCCCGUGAUGGGAUGGAAACUGCCAAUCUAGAGUAUCGGAGAGGAAAGUGGAAUUCCUAGUGUAGCGGUGAAAUGCGUAGAUAUUAGGAAGAACACCAGUGGCGAAGGCGACUUUCUGGACGAAAACUGACGCUGAGGCGCGAAAGCCAGGGGAGCGAACGGG